This 429-nucleotide ribosomal RNA is filed under the name uncultured bacterium. RNAcentral describes it as "bacterial SSU rRNA". It matches the Rfam family "Bacterial small subunit ribosomal RNA", at positions 28 to 451 of the family's 1533-position model. The record is from RNAcentral.
GACGAACGCUGGCGGCGUGCCUAACACAUGCAAGUCGAACGGAGCCGGUCUUGGUGGCAACAUCUUGGCCGGUUUAGUGGCGAACGGGUGAGUAACACGUGAGGAACCUGCCCCGGAGACCGGGAUAACAGGAGGAAACUCCUGCUAAUACUGGAUGUCCCCAUUGGAUCGCAUGGUUUGGUGGGGAAAUGGGUUUCCGCUUCGGGAGGGUCUCGCGGCCUAUCAGCUUGUUGGUGGGGUAAUGGCCUACCAAGGCGUCGACGGGUAGCUGGUCUGAGAGGACGAUCAGCCACACUGGGACUGAGACACGGCCCAGACUCCUACGGGAGGCAGCAGUGGGGAAUCUUGCGCAAUGGGCGAAAGCCUGACGCAGCAACGCCGCGUGCGGGAUGAAGGCCUCGGUUGUAACGACUUCUAGCAGGACGAAGU